UUUGGAUACUGCACGGCAGUCGUUUGAAGAAAAAACUGGAGAGAUGGGGGAUGGAAGCCUGGGAGUCACAUUUUUUCAAGCAAGACAUCACAGAGGGUGAGGCCCAGUGACAGAGAUGACAGAUAUUCAAAGAUGGAAUGAAAGAGGUUUGGUGACUGGAUAUAAGCAACGAAACAGGAAGAAUUGAAUUUGGGUCUGAUAUUUCCUGGAUGCAAGAUCAGGAGGAUGUUGGCACCAUGGCUUAGUGGGGAAACUGGGGACCGAUUCUGGAGGUAUACCAGCAUGGUGAGUUUGGUUUUAGAUGGGUUGUGUUUGACAUAGGGCUAGCAAUUCUAAGUGAAGAUGUCUAAAGAAAGAUAGAAGUGACUCAGCUCUGAAGUUCUGAAAUGAUCAGCCAUCAGCGUGGCAUGAGGAAGACCUAGGAACAGACAGACUGGGGAGAAGACACAGAGCCAAGCAGGACCUGGCCUGCAGCCCAAACCCUGUGGAAUCCCUACAUUCAAGGACCAGGUUGAAGUGAAGCCAUUGACAGGAACUGAGAUGCAGUAGUGUUCUGGAAGUCAAGUGAGGAGGAGGAUUGAAGAAGAGGGGGGUUGCCCAGUGGAAACACCAGACUGCAAAGCUUUGAGAAGUCUGUAUGAGAUGAACAACUGGAAAAGGUUCUUCGUGAAGAAUUUGUGUGGUGAAGAGCUGGAAUAGCGGCUUGAGGGAGAGAAGCCAGG
This 722-nucleotide long non-coding RNA is filed under the name Homo sapiens (human). Its description in RNAcentral is "HSALNT0248981". The record is from RNAcentral. Lineage: Eukaryota; Metazoa; Chordata; Mammalia; Primates; Hominidae.